CGGAUGUGAUGUGAAAUUGCCGUCCUGACCCAGCGGUGGAGGCAAAAAACUGAUUUAAUGAGGCUGAUCC
Small nucleolar RNA from Dromaius novaehollandiae (emu), 70 nucleotides. Lineage: Eukaryota; Metazoa; Chordata; Aves; Casuariiformes; Dromaiidae. The record is from Ensembl.